UACGAGGGAUGCAAGCGUUAUCCGGAAUUAUUGGGCGUAAAGAGUUUGUAGGUGGUCAAGUGUGUUUAAUGUUAAAUGUUAAAGCUUAACUUUAAAACUGCAUUAAAAACUGCUUGUCUUGAGUAUGGUAGGGGUAAAGGGAAUUCCCAGUGUAGCGGUGAAAUGCGUAGAUAUUGGGAAGAACACUAAACAGCGAAGGCACUUUGCUAGGCUAAUACUGACACUGAGAAACGAAAGGUAAGGUAGCGAAACGG
This 254-nucleotide ribosomal RNA is filed under the name uncultured organism. Its description in RNAcentral is "partial 16S ribosomal RNA". It matches the Rfam family "Bacterial small subunit ribosomal RNA", at positions 524 to 776 of the family's 1533-position model. The record is from RNAcentral.